This 1386-nucleotide ribosomal RNA is filed under the name uncultured bacterium. RNAcentral describes it as "16S ribosomal RNA". It matches the Rfam family "Bacterial small subunit ribosomal RNA". The record is from RNAcentral.
AGAGUUUGAUCCUGGCUCAGGAUGAACGCUGGCGGCGUGCCUAAUACAUGCAAGUCGAACGCGGGCACUUGUGCCCGAGUGGCGAACGGGUGAGUAAUACAUAAGUAACCUGGCCUUUACAGGGGGAUAACUGCUGGAAACGGCAGCUAAGACCGCAUAGGUAGGGACACUGCAUGAUGACCGUAUUAAAAGUGCUGCAAGGCACUGGUAGAGGAUGGACUUAUGGCGCAUUAGCUGGUUGGUGAGGUAACGGCUCACCAAGGCGACGAUGCGUAGCCGACCUGAGAGAGUGACCGGCCACACUGGGACUGAGACACGGCACAGACUCCUACGGGAGGCAGCAGUAGGGAAUUUUCGGCAAUGGGGGGAACCCUGACCGAGCAACGCCGCGUGAAGGAAGAAGGAAUUCGUUCUGUAAACUUCUGUUAUAAAGGAAGAAAGACGGAUGGAGGAAAUGACAUCCGAGUGACGGUACUUUAUGAGAAAGCCACGGCUAACUACGUGCCAGCAGCCGCGGUAAUACGUAGGUGGCAAGCGUUAUCAGGAAUUAUUGGGCGUAAAGAGGGAGCAGGCGGCAGCAAAGGUCUGUGGUGAAAGACUGAAGCUUAACUUCAGUAAGCCAUAGAAACCGGGCAGCUAGAGUGCAGGAGAGGAUCGUGGAAUUCCAUGUGUAGCGGUGAAAUGCGUAGAUAUAUGGAGGAACACCAGUGGCGAAGGCGACGAUCUGGCCUGCAACUGACGCUCAGUCCCGAAAGCGUGGGGAGCAAAUAGGAUUUGAUACCCUAGUAGUCCACGCCGUAAACGAUGAGUACUAAGUGUUGGAAGUCAAAUUUCAGUGCUGCAGUUAACGCAGUAAGUACUCCGCCUGAGUAGUACGUUCGCAAGAAUGAAACUCAAAGGAAUUGACGGGGGCCCGCACAAGCGGUGGAGCAUGUGGUUUAAUUCGAAGCAACGCGAAGAACCUUACCAGGUCUUGACAUACUUAUAAAGGAUCCAGAGAUGGAUAGAUAGUUAUAUGAGAUACAGGUGGUGCAUGGUUGUCGUCAGCUCGUGUCGUGAGAUGUUGGGUUAAGUCCCGCAACGAGCGCAACCCUUGUCGUUAGUUACCAUCAUUAAGUUGGGGACUCUAGCGAGACUGCCAGUGACAAGCUGGAGGAAGGCGGGGAUGACGUCAAAUCAUCAUGCCCCUUAUGACCUGGGCUACACACGUGCUACAAUGGAUGGUGCAGAGGGAAGCGAAGCCGCGAGGCGAAGCAAAACCCAUAAAACCAUUCUCAGUUCGGAUUGUAGUCUGCAACUCGACUACAUGAAGUUGGAAUCGCUAGUAAUCGCGAAUCAGCAUGUCGCGGUGAGUACGUUCUCGGGCCUUGCACACAGCGCCCGUCA